AUGGGCACCGAAGGUGCACAAUCUCUCAACACUUUCGAGAUUAUGAGAAGCGAGAUCAGCGACUGCAUUGUGGAGGAUCUUGAACACUUCCGACAUUCCUGGAUUUAUGCAGCUACACCAAGAUUGGCGCCCGUGCUCUAGAGGCAUUUGGCAAGAACUGCAAAACCCUCGUCAGACUUUGGCAAGUACUGCACCCUAUAGAUGUCGCUGGGAAGGUGUGCCAGAAUGACGAGGCCCAUGCUACUGCUAGCAAAAUGACAAAGCUCUGCCACCUCAAGAUAGGAAACAUGAUCAUUAAGAAUAGAGUUGUUGUCAAGAUCGCCUCCGAGUGCCAUGACCUCAAGUUCUUAGAUGUGCGUUGUUGUUGGGACGUCCAUGAUAAGCUCUUGCAAGAGAAAUAUCUUGGGAUAAAAACACUCGGCCCCCAUGUGGAUGACUGCUAUCAGAAUCGCUUUAGGGAGGAUUGCACCGAUGACUCGGAUUAUGACUACAUCUACUCAUGCAAAAGUUCAUGGACGUCAUGAGUAUUCAUCAUCCGAGUCAUCAGUGCACUCCUCGCAGAUGUGGUUCUCAUAGCAGUCGCCCAUGCGGGGGCCGAUGCUUUUCAGCCAAGGACUAUUCUGUUGCAAGAGCGUAUCGUCAACGUCCCAGCAACCACACAGAUCUAAGAACUUGAGGUCAAGGCGCUGGAAGGCGAUCUUGACGACAACCAUAGUCUUAAUGAGCAUGUAUCCUAUCUCAAGGUGGCAGAGCUUUGGCAUGUUGCUUACAAUAGCAUGGGCCUCGUGAUUCUGGCACACCUUCCCAGCGACAUCUAUGGUGUGCAUGACUUGCCGAUGUCUGACGAGGGAUUUCUAUUUCUUGCCAAAUGCAUCCAGAGCACGGGCACCAAUCUUGGUGCAACUGCUUACAUCGAGGAAUGUAACCCUGGACGGUCUUUGUGCAACAUCUUCCACUAUGCAGUCGCUGAUCUCACUCCUUGGAAUCUCGAAAGUAUUGAGUGAUCGCGCACUUCCAAAAAUAAACAUGGUAGGGUCAGUAUGGUUUAACAAAUUAUAGUGGAUAGGGUCAUUGGUAAACAAAGUAUUAUAUAAAUGAUGCAUGACCCUUAUUCUAGUAGGGUCGAUAAUUUGAAUGUAACAAAAAUAUCUCCAAAUGGACUCUUGAUCAAUUAAAUGAUAUUAACCACAUCUAUGAACUAAGUUUCGAACACUAUCGCAAUGAGAAAAUAGUUUAGAGCCAAAAAGCACUGGAGCAUUAUAGAGUUUGGAAAUGGUUGGUAAUAUAAUUUUGAACAUGUUCUUCUGCAUUGAUGUGUAGCAUCUAGUACCUUCUUCGCAACAUUUCUCACUAUCUGAAAAUAGAUGUUUGUUUACUUGAAAACAUUCUCCUGUUAGUUUCUAAAGAAUUAAAUGAACAACUGAUUCACUUAUGGAGGAUGAAGUGAUGCGCACUAUUUUCACAUCUCAAAGUCGCAGGCCUGGAUGGUUUGCAUGCAAUUUUCUACAAGAAAUAUUGGCUUUUGAAGGGUCAAAAGAUUACACAAGAAGUCCCCAACGUGACAAGCUCGAGGCAAAUAACAAAGGGGGUACAAUGACACGAUAGUAGACUUAAUUCCGAAGAUGCUUGCUAAUAAUCUAAAGAUGAUUUUACCAGAGAUUAUUUGACCAACCCAAAUUCACUACCCAAAACUAACUUUUUGGUGAUGAUUAGGCACGUUUGUGAUGGCCCCGAAGUCUCCUUCAGGAAUGUGUGCCUGUUCGUGCCGUGGAUGUUCAGCCAAGGCGAAAGGUGGUAUGUUCGUGAGGUUCUUCAUAAUAACCUUCAGGAACGGAAUGGAACAUUUGCGUCGGUACUAUAUCCAGGUCACAAAUCACUUUACACAAAUUCAAGACAGUGUACAUGGCUAUCAGGAAGAUACCUACGAGGGACCCGAAGAUAUUUCGCUUCCGGGGCACGUGAUUUUUUCACUUCCGGGGCACGUGAUUUUUUCAUUUGGGAAGUGAGAAGCACACUGAUAUUUGCUUCCCGAGGUGUUUUUCGCAUAACGUGCGCUGUCAUCGGGAGGGUUGGGUCAAAAUACCUAAAACAUGAUCAAGUAGUGCCCCCAUUGUGCUACUAGUCCCACUCCCACGAUCGGUCUACCUCCACCGUCCAACACCGCCACUCCCCCCAUAUCGGCCUUCUAGUUUUGGUCUGCCGCCUCCCUCCAAAUCUAGAGGUGCCCACCUCACCAUCGAGUGCCCCCUGCCUCUGUCGUUCAUGGCCACCCUCCUUGCUGGAGACAUCCAGAUCCGCCUCCCUAGUCGGCGACUUCCAUAUCUGCCUCCCUCGCCGUGCAGAGGUGUGCAAUCUUACUUUGGAGAUUCCGAGGAGCGAGAUCAGUGACUGCAGACAAGAUCUUACACAAAGACUUCCCAAGGUUACAUUCGUGGACGUAUGCAGUUGCACCAAGAUUGGCGCCCAUGCUCUGUAGCCAUUUCCCAAGAACUGCAAAACCCUCAUCAUACUUCGGCGGGUCGUGCACCCAAUUGAUGUUGUUGGGAAGGUUUGCCAGAAUGAUGAGGUCUAUGCUUCUGCCAGCAAAAUGCCAAAGCUCCGACACCUCGAGAUAUGAAACAUGCUCAUUAAGACUAAGUUGUUGUCAAGAUCGCCUCCGAGUGCAAUAACCUCAAGUGCUUAGAUUGGCGUGGUUGUUGGGAUGUCGAUGAUAAGCUCUUGCAAGAUAAGUUUCCUACGCUUAAAACCCUUGGGCCCAUGUGGCGACUGCUAUCAGAACUGCUUCAGGGAGGAUUGCACUGGUGACUCGGAUGAUGAAUAGAUCUACUCAUGCAAAAUUUCAUGGACGUCAUGAGAACCGCAUCUACGAAGUUUGCACCAUCCAUGAACUGGUCCCAUGAAUAGAUGUAAUCAUCAUCCAAGUAAUCGGUGCACUCGUCGCAGAUGUGGUUCUCAUAGCAGUCGCGCUGAGGUUUUUCAGCCAAGGAUACUUCUCUUGCAAGAGCUUAUCCUCGACGUCCGGCAACAAUGUGGAAAUAAUAACUUGAGGUCAAGGCACUGGGAGGCGAUCUAGAUGACAACCUUAGUCUUAAUGAGCAUGUAUCCUAUCUAGAGGUGGCGGAGCUUUGGCAUGUUGCUUCCUAUAGAAUGGGCCUCGUCAUUCUGUCACACCUUUGCAAGGACAUCUAUGGGGUGCAUGACUCGCCAUGUCUGACGAGGGAUUUCUAUUUAUUGCCAAAUGCAUCAAGAGCACUGGCACCAAUCUAUGUGCAGCUGCUUACAUCCAGGAAUGUAACCUUGGACAGUAUUUGUGCAACAUCUUCCACUACGCAGUCGCUAAUCUCACUCCUCGAAAUCUCUAAAGUAUUGAGAGAUUGCGCACUUGCAAAAAUAAACAUGGUUGGGUCAGUAUGGUUUAACAAAAUAUUAUGGAUAGGGUCAUCGGUAAACAAAGUAUUAUAUAAAUGAUGCAUGACCCUUGUUAUUGUAGGGCCGAUAAUUGGAAUGUUACAAUGAUAUUUCUGAAUGGAUGCACCGUGCUCGAUUAAAUGAUAUUAACCAUGGCUAUAAACUGAGUUUCUAACACAAUCGCAGUGAGAAAAUAGUUUAGAGCCAAAAAGGACCGGAACAUUGUAGAAUUCCGAAAUGGUUGGUAAUAUAAUUUUUAACAUGUUCUUUCACGCUAACGUGUAGGAUCUAGUAUCAUGUCGCAACAUUUCUCACUAUCAGAAAACUGAUCUUUGAUUAUUUGAAAAGAUUCUCCUGUGAGUUUCUAAAUAAUUAAAUGAACAACUGAUUCACCUAUGGAGGAUGAAGUGAGGCGCACUAUUUUCACAUCUCAAAGCCGUAGGCCAUGACGGUUUGUAUGCAAUCUUCUACAAGAAAUAUUGGCAUUUCGUUCGUCCAAAGAUUACACAGGAAGUCUCCAGCGUGACAAACUAGAGGGAAAUAACAGAGGUGGUAUAAUGACACCGUAGUAGAUAUAAUUCAAAAGAUGCUUGCUAAAAACCUAAAGAUGAUUUUACUAGAGAUAAUUUUACCAACCCAAAUUCAGUACCCGAAACUAAGUUUUUGGUGAUGCUUUAGACACCUUCGUUAUCGCCCCGAAGCCUCUUCAAGAAUGUGUGCCUGUUCCUGAUGAGGAUGUUCAGCCGAGGCGAAAGGUGGUUACGGUCCUGACGUUCUCGAUAAUGACCUUCAAGGAUGAGAAUAACAUUCAGGAAUGGAGUGGAACGUUUGCGUCA
This is an RNA transcript of Triticum aestivum (bread wheat), 4244 nucleotides long. It is a transcript of the gene named F-box protein FBW2-like, with no coding region annotated. The record is from RefSeq and is a predicted model, not a curated record. NCBI's taxonomy places the organism in Eukaryota, Viridiplantae, Streptophyta, Magnoliopsida, Poales, Poaceae. The transcript has 4 exons.